UACGGGGGGGAGCAAGCGUUGUUCGGAUUUACUGGGCGUAAAGGGCGCGUAGGCGGUCGUGACAAGUCACUUGUGAAAUCUCCGGGCUUAACUCGGAACGGUCAAGUGAUACUGUCGGACUAGAGUACAGAAGGGGCAACUGGAAUUCUCGGUGUAGCGGUGAAAUGCGUAGAGAUCGGGAAGAACAUCGGUGGCGAAAGCGCUCUGCUGGACUGCAACUGACACUCAGGGACGAAAGCUAGGGGAGCGAAUGGG
Molecule: ribosomal RNA, 255 nt
Filed under: uncultured bacterium
Lineage: Bacteria
Description: partial 16S ribosomal RNA
Rfam family: Bacterial small subunit ribosomal RNA
Source: RNAcentral